UGUUUUAUCGAUGCAUCACAAUUUACAAAGACAACAAAUUAUAUUCAUUCAAAAAAUAGCAUUUGUUCACAAGACAAUACAAAUUUCCUACUAUCUGGUCUGAUUUUGAAAAACAAAAUUAAUAUCAAAACAUCACAAGCAUAUCUAGAAGGCGCUAUAAGCAUUUAAAAAAAAUCGAGUAACAUGACUCCGUUGAAAAAGCACUACUGGGUGAUUUUAAUCUCUAACACUACACAGCCACUUCCACGCAGCUAAUUGGACCCAAGUAAUCCUGCUGAAAAACUUUAAUCUCCAGUAACACGGACUAACUGCAAAAUCUGCAAAGAAUCCAAAACACAUCAGAAUGAUAAUAAGUUAUAACAGCCAGCUCCCAAAUGAAUACAAAGAGCAAUAAUUAGUUGAUUUUCCAAGCAAUCAUCUGAUGCACACACCACUACUAUAUUAAGGUAGCAUAAAAAUGUGGGCAACACACGCUAAGAAAAAGCAGAAUAGUAAUACUGGAGGCAUACUUUCUUCAUCAAUUAAAAGUAAUUAUGUUAAUAAACUAGCCUUUUGCAUGUAAUGUGAAAUAAAAACCACUCAAAGGCAAGAGCAUUUUAGGGAAUUAAAUGAUCCACUUAGUACGAUAACCUUCACAUCUAGAUUAACAACACCUGGGAGUUGUGAAGAACAAUGACAUAUGUUGGAAUAAAAAAACAUGCAUUCUCUAAUUUACUGAUUAGCCUUCAUGGCAUACAAGGUACAUAAUUAUCUUUGCCCUCACUUCAGUAUGAGAUGGUAUGAAGAAUUGAGAUAGAGCAUGUGUUGAAAUUGUAUAUAUGCCACUUCCUGAUUAUUAUCUUUACUAGCAGGAUUACUAGCAUAUUCUCUAUUCCUGAUUAUUAUCUCAAUUGCUUUCUACAAAGAGCCCCCACAUGAAAAUGUAUUAAGUAUAUAAUUCAAGGGAAUAUACCUGAUCUCUUUUUUUGUAUAGUUCUGGUUGUAUACCUAACAUUUUAGUUUAAAGAUUACUAGCACACCAUUAAUUAAUUAUUCUUUCCAGUAGGCUUUCACCAAUGACGUGGUGUGAAUAAUACCGAGAAAUAGAGAAUAUGCUAGGAAUAACACUGAAAUUUUGAGACUGAACAAAUGCACGAUGUAGCAGAUCGAACACUCUUAAAUCUGAAGCGAAAAUAAUAUGCCAUCUAUUAGGUAUCUUAAAGAAAAAGCAUGCAAUCUUCACUUCCAUCGCUCCUUCAGAUUGCAAUUCUGUGAAUACGCAUUUCCAGAAAUACAAUAGUACAAAUCCAUCACUUCUACUAUAAUAAGCAAAAAAACUCAGCAUCAUAUAAACUGUUGCUUGCAAACCCCAAAAAGAAGGGAAAACAAAAGGAUUAUUCAUCCAAGUAUAUUAAGAAGUCAGGCAAUAAUUGAAUAAGACAUCAAGGCAGUAAUGAAGAAGUCAGGUAAUCAAUUCUUCUUUCUUUCAUUGUUACUUACAAUUUUCUUUUUGGAACAGAAGUAUGGACACACAAAGUAUACUCGGGAGACAAAGAAGGUAAACAAACUACAAAAGUUAAUUAUUGUUUCCAAGUAACGGCGUCAGCGCCUUUUUCGCCAUUUGGACUUUUGACCCAUACUGUAUGCAGAGCAGAAAACCAUCAUGGACAUUAAAGAGGUACAAUCAGGUAGAAGUGGAAGUGAACUGUUGCUAAAGAAAGCCAAGCAUGGUUUUCUUGCAUUUUUAAUUGUUGUUCUGAACAUAUCCUACUCUCCUUUCGAAUAGCCCAUGAUCUCUACCUGUUAAUUGGAGCACGCUAGCGGUAACUCAAAUAUCUAGACAUCUCUUCUACCUGCGACCUUUUUGUAUCUAAUUUUGUAUCUAAACAUCUCUUCUACCUGACACAAAGGCCAACCUUUUAGUACCACCUCUCCUAGAUUCACACAUGAAAAAAAUGCAUCGUACCUACAAACUGUAAAAUGGAUUGCCUAGCUCUUGUAUAUAUGAUAUGUAUGUGAAUCGGUUCUUGACAGACUAUGUCACCGAUAUAUUGAGACUUCUGUUAUGUGUUCCCUCCGUCCAGAUGUGAAGGACAGGAGAGGCACAAUCAAUUUUACAACUCAAAUAUUCUCCCCUUCAAAACAUACAGACCACUUCCCCUUAUUAGAUAAAAGAAAUAAACAAUCAGCUACAUCAACAAAAAGAUAUUCAUAUACUUUGCAACAACAUAUGCUCUUACCUACUUUAGAGAAAAAUCAAUUUAUCAAUCUAUAUGGCGCGGCAGCAAGACGCUAGUAUGUUGUAUGCGUGCAGAACAGGAACUUGUUCAGAAUAGUGACCUGCACUAUAGAUUGCAUUUAACAGUCUUGUUGAACCUGCAGUUUAGAUCACGGGUUCAGGGAACUUCUUGUAAACAAAUGUAAAGGUUCAUUUACUAGCUAUCUAGUCAUUGAGAAUCAAGCUUCUCUGAUUUUGAAUUUGAAUAUGUGUGUAAUGGGGAGUUUUUUUGCAUGCAGACAUACAUAAUGCUACACAUAGGCUGCAAUUAUCUCUCACCAAAUUUUGACUCUAUUCUACUCUAUUCAGCUUGUACUGCCCACUCACAAAACAAUAGUUGGGACUAUCAAUGCCCAUGGCUACAGAAUUCCUCUAAACAACACUUCUGUACUUGUUAAAUUACUCGAAUGUAACUAUCCCCCGUUUUCUGGAACCAACAAUUUUUAAAUCUAUGAUCCAUAACUAAAAAUGCAUUAGUAAACUGCAGGGCCAUGCUAGGAAAUCGGGAAGGUCUUCCUUGGUAUGAAUGCACCAAGUGCCUUUUCCAAACUCUGGGUGUUCCUGACAUCUUUAUGUAUUGGGUGAGAAUUAGAUGGCAGAACCUAUAACAAUUUGGUGAAAAUUAUAUGUUCAAAUACUUACAUGAACCUAUAAAUAUUUAGGUUGAAUCAUUACCUGUUUAUUUAUAUAGAUGAGCACGUUCAGUCAGAUAAAGCCCAUCCUAAAAAAAAAGAUGCCGACGGGAGAGAAAGAUGGGGUUUGAGGUGCUCACCUGGGCAAGGGAGGGCCUCUAGUGGUCCAAAUGCUGCAAAGGAGGUUGCCACAGGAUGCACAGCCGCGCCAGAGAUGUGGCAGAGGAGGUUGGGGUCGCCGCCGUGCAGCCCAACGCGGGCGAACACACUGAGCUAGGAGAAGCCAUCCAGAAGGUGGAGAUGGCGCGAGUCCGCGCGGUGUGCAAUGGAGCGAAGCCGCCGGAGACGUGCCGAGGAUGGACGCGAUCUGCAGCCGAAACCCUAGCCACAGGCUAGGCGUCACAGGCGAGCGCAGGGGAACGGGUGCGGCGGAUCCAACUGGCUUGGAGGACGAGGGGUCAGAGACCAGCUCAUCUAUGUGUUGCGCGGUGGUGGAGUCACCGGAACCGGCGGGCGUUGGCUGCGGCGUGAGGGAUGCGGCGGAUCUGGUAGCUACUGGUGCUGCGAGGUGAGAGGAGAGAAGGGGGGGGGCCAAUGGCGAGCAAUGACAGGAGGGAGGCGAGGAGAUGGUUGGUGGCGGCGAUGUGGGAGGGACGAUGGGGAAUCAGGAGGGGGCU
This 3566-nucleotide long non-coding RNA is filed under the name Triticum aestivum (bread wheat). RNAcentral describes it as "long non-coding RNA (TAES_LNC015142)". Lineage: Eukaryota; Viridiplantae; Streptophyta; Magnoliopsida; Poales; Poaceae. The record is from RNAcentral.